This is a long non-coding RNA of Homo sapiens (human), 1350 nucleotides long. Ensembl annotates it as long intergenic non-protein coding RNA 629. Lineage: Eukaryota; Metazoa; Chordata; Mammalia; Primates; Hominidae. The record is from Ensembl.
CUCUGGCGGUGUCCUUUGAGCUGCCGGGACGGCGCAAGGUGGCUGAGCGAAGCUUUUUGCUCGGUGCUUACAGGGAGUACCUGAGAUGGUUUGGGAAAGGAAACAGGGGGUCUCAGACCGCUUGGGUGCAGCGCUCUCCCCAUGCGUUUGAGUGCAGAUCUGUCGAGACGCCCCAGCCCUCGCCACCCCACCAAGCUCUCAGGUAGAGAGGCCCCGGGACAGGAAACCUGUUUAUGCACCCUCCUGCAAUCCCACCACCUGCCCAGGCCAAGUGAGCCCCUCUCCGCUACUGGUGUUUCAUAAUGCUGGGAGCUACUUUGAUUUCAUGCAUUGCCCUUCAGCUGCCAUGUUAUGAGGACACUUGGAGAAAGCUACAGGAGAGGAACUGAGGUCUCCUGCCAUCAGCCACUUGAGUGAGCAUGGGAGUGGAUUCUCCAAACUCCAGUUAAGACUUGAGAUGUCCACAGUGGCAGCCACUAGCUUGACUGCAACUUACGAGAGACCCUGAGCCAGAGGCACUCAGUUAAGUCAUACACAGUUUCCUGACCCGUAAAACCUGUGACACAAUGAAGGUUUGUUGUUUUGGGGGUAAUCCGUUAUUCAGCAAUAGAUAACGAAUACAGAAGGCUUGUAAUUGUAUAACCAACGUGAGUUUAUAAGCGGAUAUCUGACCUCAUUUGUUUUCUCCUGAAAAAGUUAUAGAAAAAUCACAAGACUGCAAGUCACUCUCUCUCUUUCUUUUGUGGGGAAUAAACAAGUAUAAUUACAAUUUCUAAACCUAUUGUUUUAUUCUCAAAUAUAAUUACAAUUUAAACAGGAUAUUGUAGAGCUCCAUCAUAGGGAUUAACACUAAUUAGAAUUAAAGAACGUUUUUGUGAAAGUCAGCUUUUUUUUUUUAAAUAAACACUCGUCCCUUGAUAAUGUAUUUCUUUUUCAUAAAAUUAAAAAAAAAAUGUGGGUUGUAGUAGGUGUAUAUAUUUAUGUGGUACAUGAGAUGUUUUGAUACAGGCAUGACGUGUAAUAAUCACAUCAUGGAAGAUGGCGUAUCCAUCCCCUCAAGCAUUUAUCCUUUGUGUUACAAACAAUCCAGUUACACUCUUUUUGUUAUUUAAAAAUGUACAAUUAAAUUAUUAUUGGCUAUAGUCACCCUGUUGUGCUAUCAAAUAUUAGGUCUUAUUCAUUCAUUUAACUAUUUUUUUGUACCUAUUUAUCAUCCCCAUCCCCGGUUCCCUCCCACCACCCACCCCACUACCCUUCCCGGCCUCUGGUAACCAUCCUUCUACUCUCUAGCUCCAUGAGCUCCAUUGUUUUGAUUUUUAGCUCCCACAAAUAAAUGAGAACAUGUAAUGU